Molecule: non-coding RNA, 74 nt
Organism: Pangasianodon gigas (Mekong giant catfish)
Lineage: Eukaryota; Metazoa; Chordata; Actinopteri; Siluriformes; Pangasiidae
Source: the annotation of a GenBank genome assembly
GGAAGUGGUGGCUUAGUGGCUAAGGCUUGGGGCUACCAAUCAAAAGGUUGAGAGUUCAAAUCCCAGCACUGCCA